This 576-nucleotide ribosomal RNA is filed under the name Triticum aestivum (bread wheat). RNAcentral's name for it is "partial small subunit ribosomal RNA". The record is from RNAcentral. Lineage: Eukaryota; Viridiplantae; Streptophyta; Magnoliopsida; Poales; Poaceae.
AUGGCCCCCAACAGAGCUCCGGGACCAGAUAAUAUUCCUGUGGAGUUUCGUCAAGCCUGUUGGGAGAUUGUGAAGGGGGAUAUCAUGUUCUUAAUUAAACAUUUCCAUAAUGGGACGCUGGAUGUUCAACGUCUCAACUAUGGGGUGAUUACACUCCUGCCCAAGGUUUCUGGUGCUGAUAAAAUUCAGCAGUUUAGACCUAUCGGCCUCCUUAGAUGCCCAUACAAACUAAUUACCAAAGCCAUGGAUCGUAGGGUUGAAAAAUAUGCUGACAAAAUGAUCAGCCCCACCCAGAAUGCUUUUGUGAAAGGGAGAAAUAUCAUGGAUGGGGUGUUAUCUCUGCAUGAAAUCCUUAACUACACCCAUGUUAAAAAGAGGGUGGGUAUUGCGUUGAAACUGGACUUUGAAAAGGCCUAUGACGAAGUUAUUUGGGACUUCCUUUUGGAAUGUCAUAGACUUCGAGGCUUUAGUGAAGCCUGGUGUGGUUGGGUUAAACAAAUUCUACACAAUGGCACGGUUAGUAUCAAACUCAAUAACUGUGUAGGGCCAUACUUUCAGAGUGCUAAAGGGGUCUGA